This 253-nucleotide ribosomal RNA is filed under the name uncultured bacterium. RNAcentral describes it as "partial 16S ribosomal RNA". It matches the Rfam family "Bacterial small subunit ribosomal RNA", at positions 524 to 776 of the family's 1533-position model. The record is from RNAcentral.
UACGAAGGGGGCUAGCGUUGCUCGGAAUCACUGGGCGUAAAGCGCACGUAGGCGGGUCGUUAAGUCAGGGGUGAAAUCCCGGAGCUCAACUCCGGAACUGCCUUUGAUACUGGCGACCUUGAGGCUGGAAGAGGUUAGUGGAAUUCCCAGUGUAGAGGUGAAAUUCGUAGAUAUUGGGAAGAACACCAGUGGCGAAGGCGGCUAACUGGUCCAGAUCUGACGCUGAGGUGCGAAAGCGUGGGGAGCAAACAGG